Oncorhynchus keta (chum salmon) is the source of this 1922-nucleotide long non-coding RNA. RefSeq lists it as uncharacterized. The record is from RefSeq and is a predicted model, not a curated record. NCBI's taxonomy places the organism in Eukaryota, Metazoa, Chordata, Actinopteri, Salmoniformes, Salmonidae. The transcript is spliced from 4 exons.
ACAGGACCCAGAGACUGAGACAGGACCCAGAGACUGAGACAGGACCCAGAGACUGAGACAGGAGUCACAUCCAACCAACUACCCCUGAGACAGGAGUCACAUCCAACCAACUACCCCUGAGACAGGAGUCACAUCCAACCAACUACCCCUGAGACAGGAGUCACAUCCAGCCAACUACCCCUGAGACAGGAGUCACAUCCAACCAACUACCCCUGAGACAGGAGUCACAUCCAACCAACUACCCCUGAGACAGGAGUCACAUCCAGCCAACUACCCCUGAGACAGGAGUCACAUCCAACCAACUACCCCUGAGACAGGAGUCACAUCCAACCAACUACCCCUGAGACAGGAGUCACAUCCAACCAACUACCCCUGAUACAGGAGUCACAUCCAACCAACUACCCCUGAGACAGGAGUCACAUCCAGCAAACUACCCCUGAGACAGGAGUCACAUCCAUCCAACUACCCCUGAGACAGGAGUCACAUCCAGCCAACUACCCCUGAGACAGGAGUCACAUCCAUCCAACUACCCCUGAGACAGGAGUCACAUCCGGCUGAGUAGCCCCAGAGCCUGUCCUGGUCCUUGAGAUGACCACUACUAGGCCAUAGAGACACAGAACCACUAGUCUAGACCACUACUAGGCCAUAGACACGCAGAACCAAUAGUCUAGACCACUACUAGGCCAUAGAGACACAGAACCACUAGUCUAGACACACGUAUUUGUCCUGGGUUGCAUUCACACCAAACGGAAGAAAAAGGAACUGAAACAGAAAGGGACGACCUGAACUUGUCCAAUAAGAAAUGCUUGUUUUAAUUUUACUUCUUUGCUCACUCUGCUAUUUCAAAACGAAUGUGAAAAAGAUGGAAAUCAAGGUCCCAUAAACACAAGAAAACAGCAGCGCCUUUACAAGGUUCCAGAACUAAAAGGGCCUCCUACAGAACAGGAUGCUGUAUGCAGAGAUACAAUCCUACCUUUACAAGGUUCCAGAACUAAAAGGGCCUCCUACAGAACAGGAUGCUGUAUGCAGAGAUACAAUCCUACCUUUACUGAUUCACCUCGAACAUUUCCGUCACAUCGAUCUUUGUACAGAUAUUUAUGCUUUUCAGAAUUAAAAUGGUUUCACUUCCCAAUACUUACUUUUUAACUGCUGUUUGAAGUGGAAUUAAAAACCAUUGUAUUUCACUGUUACUGUUUAAUUUCACCACGGUCUGGCCUGUCCCUAAGUUAGCCAGGUAUGAAACUAAAAACACAGACAACUCACUUCCCUAAAAGAGCAACACAACACUUCUCUCUGUGAGGUAAAAGGUCAAGGAGUACCGGUACUUCCUAGUUUUUCAACAUGUGCAGUGUGAUGUUUUCAUCUAGAACGUAUAGGCCUACAGCUGGUUUGGAAGUAGCUGCAGCACAUGGAGCCCCUCGUUGACCUCACUGCUCUCUAGUGGUGUUAAUACAACGGUACACCUUCGGUGAACAAGUGCACACAUCAAGGAAAGGAGUCCAUAGGAGCAAGGGAUUGAUUUAGGGAUUGAGCUCAGGUGUCAAGGACAUGUGUGCAGCCCAGUUAGAGGUCCCGCUGUGAAGGACAGGUGUAAAGGUAGAGGUACUCACAGUCCGGCAGGCAGCCCAGUUAGAGGUCCCGCUGUGAAGGACAGGUGUAAAGGUAGAGGUACUCACAGUCCGGCAGGCAGCCCAGUUAGAGGUCCCGCUGUGAAGGACAGGUGUAAAGGUAGAGGUACUCACAGUCCGGCAGGCAGCCCAGUUAGAGGUCCCGCUGUGAAGGACAGGUGUAAAGGUAGAGGUACUCACAGUCCGGCAGGCAGCCCAGUUAGAGGUCCCGCUGUGAAGGACAGGUGUAAAGGUAGAGGUACUCACAGUCCGGCAGGCAGCCCAGUUACAGGUCCCGCUGUGAAGGACAGGUGU